CGAGUGUAGGGUUCCUAGCGAGCCCAACCUCCCACCCGUGUUUACUGUAACCUUAGUUGCUUCGGCGGGCCCGCCUUUAAGGCCGCCGGGGGGCAUCAGCCCCCGGGCCCGCGCCCGCCGGAGACACCACGAACUCUGUCUGAUCUAGUGAAGUCUGAGUUGAUUGUAUCGCAAUCAGUUA
RNAcentral lists this unclassified non-coding RNA (181 nucleotides) under Aspergillus tamarii. Its description in RNAcentral is "internal trancsribed spacer 1". The record is from RNAcentral. Lineage: Eukaryota; Fungi; Ascomycota; Eurotiomycetes; Eurotiales; Aspergillaceae.